RNAcentral lists this ribosomal RNA (1935 nucleotides) under Triticum aestivum (bread wheat). RNAcentral's name for it is "partial small subunit ribosomal RNA". Lineage: Eukaryota; Viridiplantae; Streptophyta; Magnoliopsida; Poales; Poaceae. The record is from RNAcentral.
AUGCGGCGGCCCUCCCUCCGUCCCACCCCAGGAGUGAGGAAGAGGAAGCGGAGGAGAGUCCGUCCCUCUCUCUCUGCCUGUCUGCCGCAAAAGCCAAAUCCCCUCCCAUUUCCACGAGAAAUCCAUCGGAAUCGCACCCGAAACCGCGAAGACGAGCAGCGAGGCCGACGCCGAACAAAUCUCCCCCCUGUCUGUCUGCCCCCUCCGCAAAGCCCGUCCCUUUCCUCUCUUGUUCCGCCUGAAGCCUCCUCCCCCCUUGUUCCUGUCCCCUUCCCGCGCGCCGGAUCGAUCUUGCUUGGCGGCUCGGCCAUGGCAUUGCCCGCGCGCCUCGUGCGCGUCGCGCUGCUCCUCCUCGUCGCGCUCUCCUUCUGCGCCGCCGGCACGCACCGCGAGCCCCACCGGGCGCUCCACUCCGGCCAAGAUACACAUGGCCUGGUGGUGAGAAGAUCAGUUGCUGAAGCUCCUGCUGACAUAAAUGUCACUACCAAUAGCUCCUUCGUGUUGGCGGAACACCGGACUUUUCGGAAGGACCCUCUGAAUGCGUUCAACAGAUAUGCAGGCGGUUGGAAUAUCAGCGAAGUUCACUACUGGGCUUCCGUUGGAUACACAGCGUAUCCGUUGUUCGUCGUUGCCUUGCUGUGGUUUGUGCUAUUCUUCCUCCUCAUGCUUGGGAUUUGCUGCCACCAUUGCUGCUGUGGGCACCAAGGUUAUAGCUACUCGAGGAUAGCAUAUGCCCUUUCACUGAUACUUCUGAUAUUAUUCACCUGCGCCGCAAUUGCUGGAAGUGUUGUGUUGUAUGUUGGCCAGGGCAAAUUCCAUGCAAGCACAACGACCACCUUGGAUUUUGUCGUCGACCAGGCGGAUUUUACUGUUGAAAACCUUAGGAACCUCUCGGAUAGUCUGUCCGCUGCAAAAAAGGUUGACAUAGGACAGUUCUUACUUCCUCCAAAUGUGAUGGGUGAGAUCAAUGAGAUUCAGGCAAAAUUGAACACAUCAGCUACCGAUCUUUCUACUAGAACAUCUGAAAAUUCUGUGAAGAUCCAAAAAUUGCUGAAUCAAGUGCGGCUAGCUUUGAUUAUCAUUGCAGCAGUAAUGCUUCUUCUGGCAUUUAUUGGCUUCCUGUUAUCCAUCCUCGGGCUGGAAUUCCUUGUCAACAUUUUGGUUGCUGUUGGAUGGAUACUAGUCACCGGGACCUUUAUCCUGUGCGGUGUAUUCCUUCUUCUGCACAAUGUUGUUGGUGACACCUGUGUUUCAAUGGACGAGUGGGUUGCUCAUCCAACAGAACACACUGCUCUGGAUGACAUUAUCCCCUGUGUUGAACCGGCUACGGCGAACGAGACCCUGACACGAACCAAGGAAGUCACAUCACAGCUAGUGAAUCUGGUGAACCAGGUGCUCUCCAAUGUGUCAAACCGAAACUUCCCUCCGGCGGCGACUCCCUUCUACUACAACCAGUCAGGGCCACUGAUACCCACACUCUGCAACCCGUUUGGACCCAAUCUGAGCAAGCGCAACUGCGCCCGCGGAGAGGUCACCUUGGACAAUGCAACCCAGGUCUUCAGGAGCUUCGAGUGCCAGACGAGGAUUGUGUCAGGGACCGAGGUGUGCACGACGGUGGGGCGGCUGACCCCUCGGAUCUUCGGGCAGAUGGCGGCGGGCCUGAACGUGAGCCUGGGGCUGUACCAGUACGGGCCGUUCCUGGUGCAGCUGCAGGACUGCACCUUCGUGCGCGACACCUUCAGCAACAUCAGCCAGAACUACUGCCCGGGGCUGGAGCGGUACAGCAGGUGGGUGUACAUCGGGCUGGUGCUGGUGUCGGCGGCCGUGAUGCUGUCCCUCAUCUUCUGGGUGAUCUACGCCAGGGAGCGGCGCCACCGGGCGUACAACAAGGCGCACCGGGGCGACAAGCCGGCGCCGAUGGGCGGGAAUGCCUGA